UGGGGAAUAUUGGACAAUGGGGGAAACCCUGAUCCAGCAAUGCCGCGUGAGUGAAGAAGGCCUUAGGGUUGUAAAGCUCUUUCGCCCGCGAAGAUAAUGACGGUAGCGGGAGAAGAAGCCCCGGCUAACUCCGUGCCAGCAGCCGCGGUAAUACGGAGGGGGCUAGCGUUGUUCGGAAUUACUGGGCGUAAAGCGUACGUAGGCGGAUGCGCAAGUUGGGGGUGAAAUCCCGGGGCUUAACCUCGGAAUUGCCCUCAAAACUGCACGUCUUGAGACCGAGAGAGGUAAGGGGAAUUCCUAGUGUAGAGGUGAAAUUCGAAGAUAUUAGGAAGAACACCAGUGGCGAAGGCGCCUUACUGGCUCGGUACUGACGCUGAGGUACGAAAGCGUGGGGAGCAAACA
This 402-nucleotide ribosomal RNA is filed under the name uncultured bacterium. RNAcentral's name for it is "bacterial SSU rRNA". It matches the Rfam family "Bacterial small subunit ribosomal RNA", at positions 355 to 774 of the family's 1533-position model. The record is from RNAcentral.